Molecule: ribosomal RNA, 235 nt
Filed under: Arabidopsis thaliana (thale cress)
Lineage: Eukaryota; Viridiplantae; Streptophyta; Magnoliopsida; Brassicales; Brassicaceae
Source: RNAcentral
GGUGAUCCCUACAUAGCGGGUGGGACCCACGGCGAAUGGUUCAUCAAGUCUUCAAAAAAGAAUAUAUACGAUUCGAUUGCAUAUACUAACGGAUGCGAUCAUACCAGCACUAAUGCACCGGAUCCCAUUAGAACUCUGCAGUUAAGCGUGCUUGGGCGAGAGUAGUACUAGGAUGGGUGACCUCCCGGGAAGUCCUCGUGUUGCAUCCCUCUUUUAUGUUUAACCUUUUUUUUUU